Perca fluviatilis (European perch) is the source of this 553-nucleotide long non-coding RNA. RefSeq lists it as uncharacterized. The record is from RefSeq and is a predicted model, not a curated record. Lineage: Eukaryota; Metazoa; Chordata; Actinopteri; Perciformes; Percidae. The transcript is spliced from 4 exons.
GAGUUAAUCUCUGAUUCAACCUGCGAAGCAGAAGGUGGCGCUAAUUUGCACACUACACUGAUUCCUUACCGCUCUUUGGAAAAACACAGAAGAAGAAAAGUUUGAACAACGCAGCAAGGCGGGAAGCAGCAGACAGUAGGGUUGCAGAAACUACCUACGCAGCAGAAAUCAGGCUCACUGGACUUACUUUUCAGAUCAGUUUAUGCCUUUGCAUCUUGCUGUUUCAGUUUCAAGAAGUUAAGGAAGAUAACUGGAGAUGUGAUAACGAUACCAGAAGACAGAGAAGAAACUGCCCCUCAUUAGAAAGAUGAUGGAGACCACAUUUCCCCUACGCCGACAGACCAUAGUGAUGUCCUGCCCACCAAUGAACGACCUCAUGGACCUCUGGCCUGCUCUCAAAAUAGAGUCUGAGUUGUAUGCAGAGUUCCAGCGGAUUACAAAUCAGAACCUGCCCAACACGUGCUAUGCUGAGCUUGACCGCUAUCUUCCUCGACUGAUGACCUUAUUCAGAAGGCAUCAAAAACUGGGAAGACAGCAGAUGCUCUGGCUGAAA